Molecule: ribosomal RNA, 392 nt
Filed under: uncultured bacterium
Lineage: Bacteria
Description: partial 16S ribosomal RNA
Rfam family: Bacterial small subunit ribosomal RNA
Source: RNAcentral
ACACGUAGGGGCCUGACGUUGUUCGGAAUCAUUGGGCGUAAAGGGCGCGCAGGCGGCCGUCCAAGUCCGGUGUUAAAUGGUCGGGCUCAACCCGAUCCUGCGCUGGAAACUGGGCGGCUUGCGUCCCGUCGGGGAUGCCGGAAUUCCAGGUGUAGGGGUGAAAUCUGUAGAUAUUUGGAAGAACACCGUUGGCGAAGGCAGGCAUCUGGCCGGAGACUGACGCUGAGGCGCGAAGGCGCGGGGAGCGAACAGGUUUAGAUACCCUGGUAGUCCGCGCAGUAAACGAUGCGCACCAGGUGUCGGGCGGCAGCGCCCGGUACCGGAGCUAACGCGAUGAGUGCGCCGCCUGGGGAGUAUGCCCGCAAGGGUGAAACUCAAAUGAAUUGGCGGGG